This is a long non-coding RNA of Triticum aestivum (bread wheat), 1317 nucleotides long. RefSeq lists it as uncharacterized. The record is from RefSeq and is a predicted model, not a curated record. The transcript has 3 exons. Lineage: Eukaryota; Viridiplantae; Streptophyta; Magnoliopsida; Poales; Poaceae.
CCUGGCCAGUCCAUCAAACUCCUCCGACCGGCCCAAUCCCCACGUCACGACCUUCCCAACCACCCCACCUCCCGCACCACCUCUGCCCCAUCCAUCCUCCGGUGCACCUCCUGUCGCCGGCCCCAGCACGCCACCCGCCGCUGACCAACCCCCUCCCCGGCCCGACGCGGCCUCCCCAAACCUCCCGCCGCCACCCGCGCCCACCCCAGAUUCCCUGCCUAGCCGGUUCACGCUGCGGCCGCCGCAAGGCUCCACGGAUCCCGGCGGCGCCCUCCCUUCGGUGUGCUCCUUGAUCCCGCCAUCACGUCCUGGAUCCGGCUGCCCCGGACCCCGCCAGAUCCGGUAGAAGUUCCCGCCUACUCUCGGCUGCUGCCAGGGAAGGACAUUGCCACCGCGCCACUUCGUCCUUUUGACGUUGCAGUGCGCAAGCCGUUCACCUUCGUCGCCCAUGUCCGUCCAAUGACUGGUCACCAUGCGCGCCUACCUGACCCUCAUGGGGUACCAGUGGUGGCCUUCAUCGCAUUCAUCUGACCACAUGUUUAACUGCAGGGAAUAAAUGUGCCUUCUACGGCUCCGCCCAAAAUCACGCCCGUGCCAUGGGUGUGGCCGUAGCUGAGGUGCAGCUCGCCGUUGCCCGACUCCUAGCUAAGGCAGAGGGGACAGAUAAAAUGCUGGGAGGAUUGGGGCAGGACCGCAGGAGGUAGCAGCAAGCCUUAAGGAGUUGGAGGCACAUUACUACUCAUCAAUUGUCGGUACUCUGCUCUAUGAUUGAGGUGCUUUUCCACGCAUCUGAAAUUCCUCCGGCAACACUCCCCAACAGCUUGUUUCCCCAUUGUUGUGGAUCAACGAGGAUACAAUGUGCUUCUCCUGCUCGCUUGGGUCAAUGGGUGAUUCGGCUGCUGAAGUUGACUAGUAAUUAUCUACUAAAUUUUCCAAGGACAAUCUCGCUUCUACAUUUUCAUAUAUACCAGCUUUUGUUAUUUACAUAUCAGAUGCUCUGACUAAAUCAUCUUGUGUGUUCAGAGACUACAAAUUCUGCUAUGUAGCUUCAGCAGAAUUAGGUGAUGAAAAUGUUGCUCCUCCUAUGGAUUGCUAAUUCCACACUUUUGUCUGCAUUUAUGAAUAAUGCAUAUCCAGUACCAUGCUCUAAUGAUUUUUCAUCAAUUAUACUGCCUAUAUUACAGCAGAAUUAAUGAAGUUCAACUUUGAGAAAGCAAUAAGUCCAGCUGUAUAUGGAAAAACUCUAAGAAGACAAUGACCAAAAUUUUUUGUUAGUGAAGUUCAAUUUGGAAAUACAUGAUAAAAAGGUAUUCUUUA